RNAcentral lists this ribosomal RNA (503 nucleotides) under Vibrio sp. HI00D65. Its description in RNAcentral is "bacterial SSU rRNA". It matches the Rfam family "Bacterial small subunit ribosomal RNA", at positions 1021 to 1523 of the family's 1533-position model. Lineage: Bacteria; Pseudomonadati; Pseudomonadota; Gammaproteobacteria; Vibrionales; Vibrionaceae. The record is from RNAcentral.
CGGGAGCUCUGAGACAGGUGCUGCAUGGCUGUCGUCAGCUCGUGGUGUGAAAUGGUGGGUUAAGUCCCGCAACCGGCGCAACCCUUGACCUUGUUUGCCAGCGAGUAAUGUCGGGAACUCCAGGGAGACUGCCGGUGAUAAACCGGAGGAAGGUGGGGACGACGUCAAGUCAUCAUGGCCCUUACGAGUAGGGCUACACACGUGCUACAAUGGCGCAUACAGAGGGCGGCAAACUUGCGAGAGUGAGCGAAUCCCAAAAAGUGCGUCGUAGUCCGGAUUGGAGUCUGCAACUCGACUCCAUGAAGUCGGAAUCGCUAGUAAUCGUAGAUCAGAAUGCUACGGUGAAUACGUUCCCGGGCCUUGUACACACCGCCCGUCACACCAUGGGAGUGGGCUGCAAAAGAAGUGGGUAGUGUAACAUUCGGGAGGACGCUCACCACUUUGUGGUUCAUGACUGGGGUGAAGUCGUAACAAGGUAGCCCUAGGGGAACCUGAGGCUGGAU